CCUCUCACCCCCUGCUCCUCGACCUCUCGCUCUCUGCUCCUCCUACCGCACCGUUCGCCACCCCACAACCGCUCGCCGCUUCGCCGCCUUCCGCAGCCGCGCCCCUUCGCCGUCGCCCACCUACUGCCCUUCUCUCCACGCACUUUUCCACCCUCACGCAGCCGCCGCCAGCGCCUUGUGCCCCAACGCCGCUAUCGCCAUCACCUCCUCCCCAUGGUCCGCGAGCUAGACGCGCUGCCGGGAAGAAUCCACCAUCUACGGCCUUGCGGCGCUCGCCGGGGACACCGCCGCCGCCGCCUCUAUCCUUUCCGGAUGCCUCUGUCUCCUCUCUACAGCGGCCUCCUCAUCUCUUCACGGCUGCUCCAGAGGUCGCCCCCUCGAGCAUCGCGUCCUCUUCUCCACCACCACCUCGCCGCCGCCUCCUCCCUUCGGUUCUCUCCUCGAAGCUCCAUCAAGUGGUCACUGCCGCCUGCUGCCUCUUCUCUCCUGCAGGACGACGCCUCCCCAUCCACCAUCUGCCGCCGCUGAACUGGGUGGCAGUUGCGGCCAUGGGGGAGUAGGGGUGGCAUGGUCUUCAUGGUCGUUAUGUACAAGAAGACGAGGACGACAGUGGGGGGAACGAGCAGCGAGGCCGGAGCUUCACUAUGGAUUUGAGGAUGCAACUCGCUGGCCACCAUCACCGUCCGCAAUCUGGGCUGCCCAUUUGCGUCUCGCCAUCUUCCUUCCCAAUACUUAACUUAGUUCUUUGACAGUCUAAUUUCAAUUUUGUCAAUUUAUGGCUUUUCUAGGCAAUGAUGUGAGACAGAAAAGAAGAGGAAGACGUUGGUGAAGGAGAGGGCAGCACAAAUGUACACCGCUGUGGCCAGGUUAUUCCAUACGACACAGCCACAGGUGAUGUACAUGAAUGACGGCAGAUGGUUGAGGAUUGAGGGAAUGUAGAUGCGACUAGCGAGCACUUACUCUGAGGUGCUUUCAGAUGAUGGUUUAAUAAGACUGUUUGGACAAAAUUCUGAUUUUUCAACACUUGUUCCAUGUGCGAAUAUUCUGGGAGCACCAACUCCAACUGCUGACAAGGUGAAGCUUAUGAUCAGUACAACUUUGUUUGACAUUUGGCUGGGCUAAAAAAAAUAUCAAUGGGAGCUUUGGACGGCCCGAUUGCAUUAGUGCCUGUGGUUGUGAACGUGUAAGCCUGCAUCCUGUGAUCUUCUCUUUGACGGUUCGACUUUGCUUCCAUAUCUCCUCCUUCGGUCCUCCACAGCCUCCAUGACCAUUGUCCGUGCACAGCCGCCGUCUGCCGCAGCUUUGUCAAUCGUCCUUCUCAGGUGUCAGCGAUCUUAGCCGUGAGGAGCGAGCGACACACCGUUCCCGUCGACGCCGUCGUCCGUCGGCAUCCGGUAUUGCUGUAUGCUAUACAUGUACUGAUUGUGAUUGGCGUCCCAUCCGACACCAGAACGAGAACCCCUUCAAUUUAAUGUGUUAGUCAUAGAUAUGGAUAUUGUUGACCAUAAAAAAGAACCUAUCAACAAGAGCCCGAAGGUCAUGUCGUUGGAAGAGACUAAAACCUCAGCAAGUUCUAUACAGCCUACAGAUGCGCAGAUAGAAAUAGCCAAUUUACGUCAUACCAAACCAAGAAGAGCAAAUACAAAUAUUACACCACAAGUAUUAAAUCAACCAUGUCCUUACCUGAAAAAACUAUGUUGGUGCACAUCAAUGAUGCAUUAUUAUCAAAUGCAGAGAUGAGGUGCCUUAGGCAUGAUGAUGUGUUUUUGCAUGAUGAUGUAAUAAAUGCAUAUAUAUACUGUAUAAGUGCCCAGGAGCAUCUGCAAGAUAGAGUGGGUGGAAUGGUACAUAUUGCAAGCACGUUUGUGUCUUCCCUGCUAAAGAACGAUGAGGUAGACCGGGCAACACAUCGCCACAUUGUAAAACGAGUGAAUGCUUUUUUGGAGCAUGACAUGGUAUUCCUUCCAGUUAACAUCAGAAAAUGCCACUGGUAUCUAUCAGUAAUCAAUGCGAAGAAACGAGAGAUACAGGUACUGGACUCGCUUGGAGUUGGAAUGAGCCGAAGUGACCUCACUAAGAUGUUACAAGGACUUGACCAGCAUCUAAAAAUCGCAUGCAAUAUGCCAGAGUUUAAGAGAGGUGAUAGGUGGCAGGACCUCGAUAUUACGAAUUGGAAAGUCGUAGAACAGCUCCAAGAGCCAAUCCAAACAGACGGGAGGACAUGAAAGAAUUUCGACGAAAGAUAAUUUGAUUAAGCGCAACUGGACAUGAUCUACUAGGUGUAGUUUCUGUGAUCGGGAUGAAACUAUCAAGCAUCUUUUCUUUGAUUGCCCGAUGGCGAGGGUGUUGUGGCGCUCGGUGCAAAUUGCCUUUAACAUUACUCCUUCAAAUUUGGUCAGGUCGUUUUUUGGAACGUGGCUGGUUGGUAUAGAGGCUGAAACAGCUAGACAAAUUUGAGUGGGAGCAUGUGCGUUGUUAUGGGCAAUUUGGAACUGCAGAAAUGACUUGGCUUUUAACAGAACCAUUUUUUGCAGGUUUUAUUCCGGGCUACUGCGCUAAUCCGUACGUGGUCAUUACUCACUCCGACGGAGGCCAGGGCGCGUUUGGUUACUGGAUCUGUCCGGUGGGAGAUGGUAGCGCGGGAUAUCUUCAACUGGUUUGGAUGACGGUCAUGUAAUAGGAUAGGCGCUUAGUUUACCUAUCUCUCUUUAUUAUGCCAGCCGGUUGUGGCUUUUGAGCCUUGUUUUACUUUGCUAGCUCUUUGUGAGCUAGCAUCCUUUAUUGCAGCACUUUGCAAGACAUUGUUGAACUAUUUUAUUUAUUUAUAAAUGUGGCCGUAUGCAUCGUUCUGAUGCAGAGGCAGGGGAAUCCCCCCUUUUCGGAAAAAAAUGAAAGAAUUUCGACGAAAAUUAGCUGUCAUACUAUUGGAAACAGAACUUAAUACGUUAAAAGGAAGUCCAAUAUAUUAUCGUUCUGACAAUGAAGAAAAUGUAUCUAAUUCUGAUGUUGAGUUUCUGGAGGACCGAAAGCGUAAGCAGCAAGAUUCACCCGAUGGAGCCAAAGACAAAAGCCCCCUUCCAAACCCUAUCCGGCGUAACCGCAAGAUUUAGUUGAUGAACUAUGCAACCACAUCAUGUCAAUUAAUGAUGCUAAUUCCCUGGAGAAGGAGUGGGUGUGAAGCUCUAAACCCCAUCCGAUAGGAUUAAGUCUCAGAAGGAUUCAAGGUAUACUCCGCAGGGAUCAGCCGUUGGACAUUGAUUGUUUCGACAUGGCUAUACGUAUACUUGCAUGUGACAAGGCCUUAC
RNA transcript from Triticum aestivum (bread wheat), 3305 nucleotides. RefSeq lists it as uncharacterized. NCBI's taxonomy places the organism in Eukaryota, Viridiplantae, Streptophyta, Magnoliopsida, Poales, Poaceae. The record is from RefSeq and is a predicted model, not a curated record. The transcript is spliced from 11 exons.